This 736-nucleotide ribosomal RNA is filed under the name Methanobacteriota archaeon. RNAcentral's name for it is "bacterial SSU rRNA". It matches the Rfam family "Archaeal small subunit ribosomal RNA", at positions 1 to 741 of the family's 1478-position model. Lineage: Archaea; Methanobacteriati; Methanobacteriota. The record is from RNAcentral.
AAAUCCGGUUGAUCCUGCCGGAGGCUACCGCUAUUGGAGUUCGAUUAAGCCAUGCGAGUCGAGAGUCUUAGGGACUCGGCGUACCGCUCAGUAACACGUGGGUAACCUGCCCUAUGCUGGGGAAUAACCUCGGGAAACUGAGAAUAAUGCCCCAUAGUUCACUACGCCUGGAACGGUGAGUGGAUGAAAGCUCCGGCGGCAUAGGAUGGGCCUGCGGCGUAUCAGGUCGUAGGGGGUGUAACGUACCCUCUAGCCAUCGACGCGUACGGGUGUUGGGAGACAUAGCCCGGAGAUGGAUUCUGAGACACGAAUCCAGACCCUACGGGGUGCAGCAGGCGCGAAAACUUGGCAAUGCGAGAAAUCGUGACCAGGGAACUCCAAGUGGCUGGGGUAAGACCCAGUCUUUUCUUGACUCUUCAAAGGUCUUGGAAUAAGAGGUGGGUAAGGACGGUGCCAGCCGCCGCGGUAAUACCGGCGCCUCAAGUGGUAGUCGAUUUUAUUGGGCCUAAAACGUCCGUAGCCUGUUUGGUACAUUCGUGGGUAAAUCAACCAGCUCAACUGGUUGAAUUCUGCGAGCACGGCCAGACUUGGGACCGGGAGAGGUGUGGGGUACGCUCAGGGUAGGGGUAAAAUCCUGUCAUCCUGAGCGGACCACCUGUUGCGAAGGCGCCACACUAGAACGGAUCCGACGGUCAGGGACGAAGCCUAGGGGCACGAACCGGAUUAGAUACCCGGG